UCCCGAUUGACGCAAUUGGUUAGCGUGUCAGACUUUUAGGAAACUGAGAUCUGAAAGUUAUGGGUUCGAGUCCCAUAUCGGGAG
Molecule: transfer RNA, 84 nt
Organism: Fusarium fujikuroi IMI 58289
Lineage: Eukaryota; Fungi; Ascomycota; Sordariomycetes; Hypocreales; Nectriaceae
Rfam family: tRNA
About the family: Transfer RNA (tRNA) molecules are approximately 80 nucleotides in length. Their secondary structure includes four short double-helical elements and three loops (D, anti-codon, and T loops). Further hydrogen bonds mediate the characteristic L-shaped molecular structure. tRNAs have two regions of fundamental functional importance: the anti-codon, which is responsible for specific mRNA codon recognition, and the 3' end, to which the tRNAs corresponding amino acid is attached (by aminoacyl-tRNA synthetases). tRNAs cope with the degeneracy of the genetic code in two manners: having more than one tRNA (with a specific anti-codon) for a particular amino acid; and 'wobble' base-pairing, i.e. permitting non-standard base-pairing at the 3rd anti-codon position.
Source: Rfam